CCUACGGGUGGCAGCAGUGAGGAAUAUUGGUCAAUGGGCGGAAGCCUGAACCAGCCAAGUAGCGUGCAGGAUGACGGCCCUACGGGUUGUAAACUGCUUUUAUACGGGAAUAACGCGCCUUACGUGUAGGGCUUUGCAUGUACCGUAUGAAUAAGGACCGGCUAAUUCCGUGCCAGCAGCCGCGGUAAUACGGAAGGUCCGGGCGUUCUACGGAUUUAUUGGGUUUACAGGGAGCGUAGGCCGCAUGUCAAGCGUGCUGUGAAAUUUCAGUGCUCAACCCUGGCCUUGCAGCGCGAACUGGCGUGCUUGAGUCAGCGGAAAGCAGGCGGAAUUCGUCGUGUAGCGGUGAAAUGCUGAGAUAUGACGAAGAACCCCGAUUGCGAAGGCAGCUUGCUGCAGCGGAACUGACGCUGAUGCUCGAAAGCGCGGGUAUCGAACAGGAUUAGAUACCCUUGUAGUC
This 460-nucleotide ribosomal RNA is filed under the name uncultured bacterium. RNAcentral describes it as "partial 16S ribosomal RNA". It matches the Rfam family "Bacterial small subunit ribosomal RNA", at positions 338 to 795 of the family's 1533-position model. The record is from RNAcentral.